RNAcentral lists this ribosomal RNA (170 nucleotides) under Pseudomonas sp. LBSA1. Its description in RNAcentral is "partial 23S ribosomal RNA". It matches the Rfam family "Bacterial large subunit ribosomal RNA", at positions 1 to 171 of the family's 2925-position model. Lineage: Bacteria; Pseudomonadati; Pseudomonadota; Gammaproteobacteria; Pseudomonadales; Pseudomonadaceae. The record is from RNAcentral.
GGUCAAGUGAAGAAGCGCAUGCGGUGGAUGCCUUGGCAGUCAGAGGCGAUGAAAGACGUGGUAGCCUGCGAAAAGCUUCGGGGAGUCGGCAAACAGACUUUGAUCCGGAGAUGUCUGAAUGGGGGAACCCAGCCAUCAUAAGAUGGUUAUCUUGUACUGAAUACAUAGGU